This 442-nucleotide ribosomal RNA is filed under the name uncultured bacterium. RNAcentral's name for it is "partial 16S ribosomal RNA". It matches the Rfam family "Bacterial small subunit ribosomal RNA", at positions 338 to 795 of the family's 1533-position model. The record is from RNAcentral.
CCUACGGGUGGCAGCAGUGGGGAAUAUUGGGCAAUGGGGGAAACCCUGACCCAGCAACGCCGCGUGAAGGAAGAAGGCUUUCGGGUUGUAAACUUCUUUUACUAGGAACGAAGAAAGUGACGGUACCCUGCAAGAAAGCUCCGUCUAACUACGUGCCAGCAGCCGCGGUAAUACGUAGGGAGCAAUCGUUGUCCGGAAUUACUGGUUGUAAAGGGAGCGUAGGCGGGAGGAUAAGUUGAAUGUGAAAUCUAUGGGCUCAACCCAUAGCUGCGUUCAAAACUGUUCUUCUUGAGUGAAGUAGAGGCAGGCGGAAUUCCUAGUGUAGCGGUGAAAUGCGUAGAUAUUAGGAGGAACACCAGUGGCGAAGGCGGCCUGCUGGGCUUUUACUGACGCUGAGGCUCGAAAGCGUGGGUAGCAAACAGGAUUAGAUACCCCAGUAGUC